This is a long non-coding RNA of Camelus dromedarius (Arabian camel), 658 nucleotides long. RefSeq lists it as uncharacterized. The record is from RefSeq and is a predicted model, not a curated record. The transcript is spliced from 2 exons. NCBI's taxonomy places the organism in Eukaryota, Metazoa, Chordata, Mammalia, Artiodactyla, Camelidae.
AAGACCAAGCCUCGCCUUCUAACACCUGCCUCUCUACAGCCACCCGCUCCAGGAGGCACUGAGGGAAAGGGAAACAGGCAGAAGGCCAUGCCUCAGCUUUAACGUGGAGACAGACACUGCAUCCCAGAUGCUGAAGAAGCCAAAGAAGAAUGGAAGCAGUAUUCCUUCUCCUAAGCCCACAGCCUCAAGCCCAUUGGCUCCUGGAUCUGUUGCUACUUGCAAGGCUGUUUACCAGUGACCCUCAGGGCGGCUCAGCCUUCACACUGCCCUACCCAACUCUCACUGAAAUCUUAGGUCCCCAAGGAAGAAAAGCACACCUCUAAGGACUUGGAGGGGCUGAUUCUGGAUCUUAGGCAGUAAGGCCAUACUCCAUAGCCCUGGGAGCCAUUAAACCCCCAGGCUUCCUGGGACACUGACCCUGCAUUGCCUGUUUGGCCCCAGAAAAGUUCCUGACACAUAAUGGAAAUGUGGUGAAUAAGUGGUGACCGAACGUCCCAGAAUUGAGCCCCUGUGUAUUAGAAUGUUUUGAGACCCUGCCUGGCUUCAGGUUAAACUCAGGACAGAUUCCUAGAGAAGGAAUGGAACACCUGCUACAUAACACGCAUGUGUGUGUGUGUGUGUGUGUGUGUGUGUGUGUGUGUGUGUGUGUAAUGUGUAU